CCAAGGAUGGCAGCAGGCGCGCAAAUUACCCAAUCCCGACACGGGGAGGUAGUGACAAUAAAUAACAAUACGGGGUUCUUUCGGAUCUCGUAAUUGGAAUGAGUACAAUUUAAAUCUCUUAACGAGGAACAAUUGGAGGGCAAGUCUGGUGCCAGCAGCCGCGGUAAUUCCAGCUCAUCAGCUCAUAGCGUAUAUUAAAGUUGUUGCAGUUAAAAAGCUCGUAGUUGAAUUUCGGGGUUAGUAGGCUGGUCAUGCCACCGGUAUGUACUGGUCUUACUGAUU
Molecule: ribosomal RNA, 282 nt
Filed under: uncultured Rhizophagus
Lineage: Eukaryota; Fungi; Glomeromycota; Glomeromycetes; Glomerales; Glomeraceae
Description: partial small subunit ribosomal RNA
Rfam family: Eukaryotic small subunit ribosomal RNA
Source: RNAcentral